GUGUUACCCAUAGGGAAAUGCUUGGAAAGUCAAUUGUGCUCAGUUAUCUUAUUUUCAUAAAGAAAUGUAGAACAGGCUCCAAAAUUGUUUUUCAUGUAAAAAAUUUUACAUGUGAAAAUGUUAAAAAAAAAUUUUUUUUUUUUCACCUGUAAAGCUGACAGAAUAAGUCCAUGUGUGGAGCACACUUUAAAGCGACUUCACCUGAAAUUCCAUCUCGGUGUGAGUCACGCCAUCUCACUUCUUGGACUAAACGCACUGCACAGAACAAUCGCGCGCUCUCAAAGCAAACUGAGGUUCCGACCUGCAGGGAGAAAAUCAGACACCCAGUCCUCUCUAGACAUCUCUGUGCCGGAAGGGGGCCAACCCCCACACCUCACAGGUCAGGACCUAAAAACUCACUGAGACACCAGGCCUGACUCUUAAUUCUGUGUCUCCCUCCCUGGAACACCUGCAUCCCCGUCGCCAGGUUUCCUUGGUGACCAGAGCUCUAAGGAUACCCGGUUCUGGCGCACUGAAGACAGAGGCCUGGGGUCAGGGUCAUUCCUACCCGCCGAGGUCAGGACUCAAGCAUCUUGCGCCUCCCGCUUCUCCCUGGACCUCAGGACACAGGACAGCAGAGAACCUGGGCCAGCGCUCCCGGGGCACCAGAACUCGUUGGCCACAGGCCGGGACAGGGAGGUGGGGGGCCUUUGCUCAUUCCAGUGACCCACUCCUCCUGGGAGCACUUGAAAGAGAAAUACAUUCCACCAUCCAGGGGCAAAGCCGCCCCCUCCCAGCUGGGGCCUGUUCCCUCCGCCUCCUCCUGGCUCCAGGGCCCGGGGUCCAACACCCGAGGAGGCCUCGGUCAACCGCAUCCAUGCACGAGGCUCUGGCCACCCUCUCAGCUCGCUGCCUACCUCCAGGCUGUCCGAUUCUUGGGCUCGGUGGCUGGGGGCGGGGGAUACAGGGCCUCCCUGCGGGGAGCGGCGUCCCGCCUCCAUCACCGCCUGGACUCCCCCAACCACACCCCGACCCCUGCGUGCAGACACGCUGGAAACCUCUCGCCUCCCGUCCCAUCCCUCGAAGACAUCAUACAAUGGCAGCGUUCCUGACAGCUUCCGGGCGCAGUCAGGUCCAUAAACUGGAAAAGGUGCUCACCAAACGCUGCCUCCUCCGUGAAGCCUCCCAGGACUCUCCACACCCACGAACAGCCACCUCCUGCCUCCCUUGACUCAGGAUACGCUGAGCGCUCCGCGUCUAAGUUUCUGCAGUGUCCUGCCUCCUUUCCAGAAAGCAAGGAGCAGACUUGGGCCCACCGGAGGUCCACAGGCUGCUAUAAAAACCCCUCAGGGCUCCUAGCCCGGUUCCCCCUCUGCAGAAUCACUGAGAGGGAUAAAUACAUGUGUACACAGGGCUAGAAGGAAGGGCGCUCCCAAAAGCUCAAGGACUAUGUAAAGUCAGAUUCAGAUGCUAUCGUGGUCGCCUGGGUCCCUGGGAAGGCAACAAUUCCCUAUUUGUCUCUCCGAUCGCUUAUCCUGGUUAGUCACUGGCACCUGGGAGGUGCUUCCUGAAUGUUCCUCCAACGUUUGAUGAAUGGUUGGUAAAGGCCAGUACUCCACUAGGAUCAUGGGCUGGCUCACAGGAGCUCUUCCCUCUAAACUGCGGUUUCCUUGGUAAAGUUAGAGAGAUACCAUAGAAGAUGGAGUGCCAUCCACACACUCAGAGGCAGCCUUCUCCUCUGCCUUGACGGUGAAAGUCGCUCAGUCGUGUCCGACCUGGGUCUCCUGCAUUGCAGGUGGAUUCUUUACCAGCUGAUCCACCAAGGAAGCCCCUCCUCUCCCUUAAGCUGCAGCAUUUGAGAGCUGACAUGGGCUUCCCUGGUAGCUCAGAUGGUAAAGCGUCUGCCUGCAAUACAGGAGACCUGGGUUUGAUCCCUGAGUCGGGAAGGAUCCCCUGGAGAAGGCAAUGGCAACCUACUCCAGGACUCUUGCCUGGAAAAUUCCAUGGAUGGAGGAGCCUGGGACAGCUCUCCUCGGCUGGCCAUCCUCCUGCUCAAACUGGACCAGUGACUUUUCUAGGCCCACUGUCCGGCCAGACGCUGGUCCGUUGUAUUAGUUCUUCACCAAACCAACAUCUUCCUUUGAUGGAGACAUGGGUUUGAUCCCUGAUGGGGGAAGACCCCACAUGCUGUGGAGCAACUAAGCCUGUGAGCCACAACUACCAAGCCUGUGCUCUAGAGCCAGGAAGCCACACUACUGAGUCCACGUGCCUCAGCUGCUGAAGCCUGCGCGCUCUAGUGCCCGUGCUCCAAAAUAAGAGAAGCCGCUGCAAACACGCACCACAAUCAGAGUCGGCCCUGCUCACCACUAGGGGAAAGCCCAUACAGCAACGAAGACCCAGUGCAGCCACAACAUCAAUA
Bos taurus (domestic cattle) is the source of this 2398-nucleotide long non-coding RNA. NCBI's taxonomy places the organism in Eukaryota, Metazoa, Chordata, Mammalia, Artiodactyla, Bovidae. The record is from Ensembl.